CUAUGACUCUUAGACCACUUUUCCUGAACACAUGCACAAGAGCGAACCAACAAGCUAAUACAACCAGGAUUCUGCCUGCAAAGAAGGAAAAUGGAUUUGCUUAUUAAUGAUGCAGAUUGCCAGUCCUGCUGCUGGGUGCGGGGCAGCUUCUGAAGUCCUCCCCUGCCAGCCUGGCACUGUUCUGCUUUUCUGCCUCAGCUGGAAGGAACCCCACUCAGGCCUCAGAACAGGAGCUUCUGGGGCGGGAGGCGGUGGGGCAGGCGGAGCGGCCUCUGAGUGAGGAAGUCGGGGCCCACACCCCUCCAGGGAAAGUCCCUAAGCUGGACUGCCCGCCUGUCUUGGAGGCCUUAUGAUCAGCCAGGCCUGUCGUAAGUGACUGAAACCCAAACGGAUCUUCAGCACAAGGGGAUUUACUGGUUCUUACAAUGGUCGUGUUCAGGUGGAGUUUGGAUUUCAGGGUUAUUGUCAAGUCUCCCGGAGGGAGUCUGGGCUCCGCGGUCACCUGCACACGACUCUCCAGGGUCCAGAUUCCAUUCCUGACUGUGCAUCCGGGCUGGAUGACCCUGUUCAGUGAUGACCAGAAAUGUCUCUGAUAGCGGCUCCUGCGUCCAUUUACGUUGCCACACUGCUCCCAGCUGACCCACGAUGAACAAGCAGUGCUACUCACAGUCCACUAAACUGAUUUCGUAAUCCAUGAAAAGGCUGUGACCUGAAGUUUGUGAAAUAUUGUUAUGCAACCACCUGUGAACAGAACCUUGCCUUUUACUCUGGCAUGGUGACCCUUAAACCUGGGU
Long non-coding RNA from Molossus molossus (Pallas's mastiff bat), 794 nucleotides. RefSeq lists it as uncharacterized. NCBI's taxonomy places the organism in Eukaryota, Metazoa, Chordata, Mammalia, Chiroptera, Molossidae. The record is from RefSeq and is a predicted model, not a curated record. The transcript has 4 exons.